This 370-nucleotide long non-coding RNA is filed under the name Dicentrarchus labrax (European seabass). Its description in RNAcentral is "lncRNA (ENSDLAG00005032857.1)". The record is from RNAcentral. Lineage: Eukaryota; Metazoa; Chordata; Actinopteri; Moronidae.
AUGGGGUGGGGACAGGAAGGAGUUCUGACAAGACUGCAAGAUCUACACAGACCAAAGCAGCAAAGGAAACGCAUGACAAAAGAUAAGAUGGAGGAGAGUGCAGCCAAGUUUGAUCCAGUGAAUGAACCAGGUGAAGCUCAACACUCAGAGAAGAAUGAUGAAAGCACAGGAGGAGAGUCUGAAAUGAAGUCUGUACCAUCCACAACCAGUGAGAAAGGUAACAUUAACCAAGAACUGAUUGUACAGUCACAUUGAUUUUAUAGAUUAUAUUUCAGUGGAGUUUUUAACAGAAUUAGAUUAUUUACUUUUAUUUUGUCAGUGCAUUGACAGAGUGCUGUCUGUCUACCUUUUACAGUGUUGUUUCAGUGAU